CGAAAGCUGAAGCAAAGUAGCAUAAUUUGAUCAAUGGAAAUUAAUUUCAAUGUUUUAUCAAAACCCAUUCGAGGAUCUUUUCCAUUUUCCUCACCUAGAGUUUCUCCACGGGCUUCUAGAACUAAGAUAUGUUUUCCUUCUCAACAUAGUACUGGACUGAAGUUCGGAUCUGAGGGACGGUCUUGGGAUAUUUCUAGCACCCCAAAAUCAAGAGUUAGAAAAGAUGAAAGGAUGAAGCACAGCUCAGCUAUUUCCGCUGUUUUGACCAAUGAUAACUCGACAAUGGCAUCCAGAGAGGAAGAUGUCAAGACUGAAAAUAUUGGCCUCCUAAAUUUGGAUCCAGCUUUGGAACCUUAUCUAGAUCACUUCAGAUACAGAAUGAAGAGAUAUGUG
This 393-nucleotide unclassified non-coding RNA is filed under the name Hevea brasiliensis (rubber tree). The record is from RNAcentral. Lineage: Eukaryota; Viridiplantae; Streptophyta; Magnoliopsida; Malpighiales; Euphorbiaceae.